AUGGGUCUCUCUGUGGGUCUCAUCUCUCUAUGGGAUUCUAUGGGUCUCUGUGGGGCGCUGUGGGUCUCUGUGGGUCUCUAUGGGGUCUCUAUGGGUCUCAGUGUGGGUCUCUAUGGGUCUCUAUGGGUCCCUAUGGGUCUCUAUGGGUCCCUAUGGGUCUCUGUGGGUCUCUAUGGGUCCCUAUGGGUCUCUAUGGGUCUCUAUGGGUCUCUAUGGGUUUCUGUGGCGUCUCUAUGGGUCUCAGUGUGGGGCUCUAUGGGUCUCUAUGGGGCGCUGUGGGUCUCUAUGGGUCUCUAUGGGGUCUCUAUGGGUCUCAGUGUGGGGCUCUAUGGGUCUCUGUGGGGCACUGUGGGUCUCGCUAUGGGUCUCUAUGGGUCCCUAUGGGUCUCUAUGGGGCGCUGUGGGUCUCUAUGGGUCUCUAUGGGUCUCUAUGGGUCUCUGUGGGUCUCUAUGGGUUUGUAUGGGUCUCUAUGGGUCUCAGUGUGGGUCUCUAUGGGUCUCCAUGGGUCCCUAUGGGUCCCUAUGGGUCUCUAUGGGUCUCUAUGGGGUCUCUAUGGGUUUCUGUGGGGUCUCUAUGGGUCUCAGUGUGGGGCUCUAUGGGUCUCUGUGGGGCACUGUGGGUCUCGCUAUGGGUCUCUAUGGGGCACUGCAGGUCUCUAUGGGGUCUCUAUGGGUCCCUAUAGGACUUGUGGGGCGCUGUGGGUCUCUAUGGGGUCUCUCUACGGGUCUCUGUGGGUCUCUAUGGGUCCCUAUGGGUCUCUAUGGGUCCCUAUGGGUCUCUAUGGGUCUCUGUGGGUCUCUAUGGGUUUGUAUGGGUCUCUAUGGGUCUCAGUGUGGGUCUCUAUGGGUCUCUAUGGGUCCCUAUGGGUCUCUAUGGGUCCCUAUGGGUCUUUAUGGGUCUCUGUGGGUCCCUAUGGGUCUCUAUGGGUCGCUGUGGGUCUCUGUGGGGUCUCUAUGGGUCUCAGUGUGGGGCUCUAUGGGUCUCUGUGGGUCUCUAUGGGUCUCUAUGGGUCUCAUCUCUCUAUGGGUCUCUAUGGGUCCCUAUGGGUCUCUAUGGGUCUCUAUGGGUCCCUAUGGGUCUCUAUGGGGCGCUGUGGGUCUCUAUGGGUCUCUAUGGGUCUCAGUGUGGGGCUCUAUGGGUCUCUAUGGGUCACUAUGGGUCUCUAUGGAUCCCAAUGGGUCCCUCUGGGUCUCUCUGGGUGUGACCCCUGA
Molecule: long non-coding RNA, 1212 nt
Filed under: Numida meleagris (helmeted guineafowl)
Lineage: Eukaryota; Metazoa; Chordata; Aves; Galliformes; Numididae
Description: lncRNA (ENSNMEG00000001016.1)
Source: RNAcentral